GGAUCUGCGAAUGUCACUCCAAUGACUGCCAUCUGCGCCUGUUGCUUCCCCGUGUGUGCUACCCGUUCAUAGGUUGUUGACCUCACUACACAUUUAUUCAGAACUGCUUAAAACCUGACAAACACCAGCUGCUUAAACAAGGAGAUCUACGCUUCACUAGGGAGUACACUGGAACCCUUGUGACUUUAACAGAGCAUCUAAAACAUUGCUGGUAAUUAUUCAAUAACACCACACUUUCUUCUCCGUUUUAAUAUUCAUUGAACUUGCCAUUCAUCCAUGCUUUGAUAAAUUAUCCUCUAAGAUAUAGCAAGUUAAUACAUAUCGGUAUAUUAACACUCCUCAAACAAACC
Long non-coding RNA from Panicum virgatum (switchgrass), 350 nucleotides. RefSeq lists it as uncharacterized. The transcript is spliced from 3 exons. The record is from RefSeq and is a predicted model, not a curated record. NCBI's taxonomy places the organism in Eukaryota, Viridiplantae, Streptophyta, Magnoliopsida, Poales, Poaceae.